GACGAACGCUGGCGGCGUGCCUAAUACAUGCAAGUUGAGCGCUGAAGGUUGGUACUUGUACCAACUGGCUGAGCAGCGAACGGGUGAGUAACGCGUGGGGAAUCUGCCUUUGAGCGGGGGACAACAUUUGGAAACGAAUGCUAAUACCGCAUAAAAACUUUAAACACAAGUUUUAAGUUUGAAAGAUGCAAUUGCAUCACUCAAAGAUGAUCCCGCGUUGUAUUAGCUAGUUGGUGAGGUAAAGGCUCACCAAGGCGAUGAUACAUAGCCGACCUGAGAGGGGGAACGGCCAAAUUGGGACUGAAACACGGCCAAAACUCCUAGGGGAGGGAGCAGUAGGGAAUUUUCGGAAAGGGAAGAAAGUCUGACCGAGAAACGCCGGGGGAGGGAAGAAGGUUUUCGGAUCGAAAAAAUCGGUGGGAAGGGAAGAACGGUGGGGAGGGGGGAAAGCCAAAAAAGGGACGGAAAAAACCAAGAAAGGAAGGGAAAAAUAGGU
This 496-nucleotide ribosomal RNA is filed under the name uncultured bacterium. RNAcentral's name for it is "partial 16S ribosomal RNA". It matches the Rfam family "Bacterial small subunit ribosomal RNA", at positions 28 to 506 of the family's 1533-position model. The record is from RNAcentral.